Molecule: long non-coding RNA, 953 nt
Filed under: Durio zibethinus
Lineage: Eukaryota; Viridiplantae; Streptophyta; Magnoliopsida; Malvales; Malvaceae
Description: long non-coding RNA (DZIB_LNC000943)
Source: RNAcentral
AUUAAUUUUCUUUAACACUUAUAUUUAUUAAUUAUAUUAUAUAAAUAUAUGGGUUCGAAGUUUAAAGCUGCAAUGGAAUCACCUAAUAGAGAAAGUGUGUGCGUAGGAUAAGAGCAGGCACGCUCUUCCCAGUAUCAAGCAACUUACAUAGUCAUUUUUGUGUAACAUAAAGAGAGAAAUGGAUUGAAUUUUUAUAAGUUUUUUUUUUCACGUUUUUGGGGUUUUGUUUAUUUUUGAUGAUCGAGCGAGGGAUGGAAUCAAAGUGAUGAUGAGGAUAGUGGGGUUUCAUUGAAAGGUCUAUAUCUUUUGAGGGAGAGAGAGAGAAGCUACUCAAAUGCUUUGGUCGGCGUGCUUUGAUGCUGCUAACUGAAGGGGAGGUGUUUUUUUCGGUUAUAUAAAAAAAGCCCCACAUAAGAAAAGAUCUUUCUUUCCAGUGUUGUCCCCUUUUCUUUGCAGGUUUUUGUUCCUUGAUUUUGGACUGUGCUGCUGCUGUUUGGGGGUGGGGUUGGGGAGGUGCGAGGGGAGAGGGUGUAAAAGGUCCUCCUUUCUGACCAAUUGGGAUUGGUUUGUUUUGUCAUUUGUGUUUUGAGACCCCUUUUUUUUCUUUGAUAAUUGCUCCAUCUCUAGAAGAUACUAUACGUGAUUCUACUUAGUGGGGACGAAAGCUCAGUGGAGCAAUAGGAAUGGAAAUUUGUUUCUUCUCUUUUUGGAAGUUGAUGGGUUUUGGGUUUUUCUAUUGACGAUGUAAAGGUGGGGACUUUGCUUUGUGUUCUUCUGGUUGCUUGUAUUGUAAAAGAGCGUAAAAAGGAAGAAUUCUUUUAAUAAGAAAAGAUCGCAUAAUGGGUUCUGUUGUUGAAGAGAAGAUUAAAACAGGAGCUUUGGUUAAUGGAGGGGCACAGGCCACUCUGCUUGAGGAAAUGAAGUUGUUGAAAGAAAUGCAAGAUCAGUCUGGU